UACAUGCAAGUCGAGCGGUAGCACAGAGAGCUUGCUCUCGGGUGACGAGCGGCGGACGGGUGAGUAAUGUCUGGGAAACUGCCUGAUGGAGGGGGAUAACUACUGGAAACGGUAGCUAAUACCGCAUAACGUCGCAAGACCAAAGAGGGGGACCUUCGGGCCUCUUGCCAUCAGAUGUGCCCAGAUGGGAUUAGCUAGUAGGUGGGGUAACGGCUCACCUAGGCGACGAUCCCUAGCUGGUCUGAGAGGAUGACCAGCCACACUGGAACUGAGACACGGUCCAGACUCCUACGGGAGGCAGCAGUGGGGAAUAUUGCACAAUGGGCGCAAGCCUGAUGCAGCCAUGCCGCGUGUAUGAAGAAGGCCUUCGGGUUGUAAAGUACUUUCAGCGAGGAGGAAGGCAUUGUGGUUAAUAACCACAGUGAUUGACGUUACUCGCAGAAGAAGCACCGGCUAACUCCGUGCCAGCAGCCGCGGUAAUACGGAGGGUGCAAGCGUUAAUCGGAAUUACUGGGCGUAAAGCGCACGCAGGCGGUCUGUCAAGUCGGAUGUGAAAUCCCCGGGCUCAACCUGGGAACUGCAUUCGAAAC
This 590-nucleotide ribosomal RNA is filed under the name Enterobacter sp. VF36(2010). RNAcentral describes it as "bacterial SSU rRNA". It matches the Rfam family "Bacterial small subunit ribosomal RNA", at positions 52 to 633 of the family's 1533-position model. The record is from RNAcentral. Lineage: Bacteria; Pseudomonadati; Pseudomonadota; Gammaproteobacteria; Enterobacterales; Enterobacteriaceae.